UUUCGAAUCAUCCACAAUGGGCGAAAGCCUGAUGGUGCGACGCCGCGUGGGUGAUGAAGGUCUUCGGAUCGUAAAACCCUGUCGAGAGGGAAGAAAGAGCGGGCGCUAAUAUCGCCUACUUCUGACGGUACCUCUGGAGGAAGCCCCGGCUAACUCUGUGCCAGCAGCCGCGGUAAUACGUAGGGACCAAGCGUUGUUCGGAUUUACUGGGCGUAAAGGGCGCGUAGGCGGUGUGUCAAGUCAGUUGUGAAAUCUCCGAGCUUAACUCGGAACGGUCAACUGAUACUGUCACACUAGAGUACAGAAGGGGCAAUCGGAAUUCUUGGUGUAGCGGUGAAAUGCGUAGAUAUCAAGAGGAACACCUGAGGUGAAGACGGGUUGCUGGGCUGACACUGACGCUGAGGCGCGAAAGCCAGGGGAGCAAACGGGAUUAGAUACCCCGGUAGUCCCUGAGCGGG
RNAcentral lists this ribosomal RNA (458 nucleotides) under uncultured bacterium. Its description in RNAcentral is "bacterial SSU rRNA". It matches the Rfam family "Bacterial small subunit ribosomal RNA", at positions 355 to 803 of the family's 1533-position model. The record is from RNAcentral.